RNAcentral lists this long non-coding RNA (1082 nucleotides) under Salmo salar (Atlantic salmon). RNAcentral describes it as "lncRNA (ENSSSAG00000108868.1, ENSSSAG00075004673.1)". Lineage: Eukaryota; Metazoa; Chordata; Actinopteri; Salmoniformes; Salmonidae. The record is from RNAcentral.
GGGAAGUGGGGGACGUGGGACGAAGGCAGUGUGCCCACGUCAACAAGUGCCAGGGAUGGGAGAAUGUGGUGUAAUGAAGGAAGGACUGGGACUAGCAGAAAUCCGCGGCUAACGGCUAAAUCCCUCUGAAAACAAUUAAAGUGCUGCCGUUCCCUUAGCAAACCGCCUGGGCUUCUGAAGCGUCCUGUUGUUCACUUUGUUAUGGUCGCCUCCACUUUUUUUUUGGAGAGGGAUUGUGCUGUUGAUGUGCCGGGGGCUUGGCUGUGCUGAUCGGAUCUGCGCGAUAAGCCUCCACCCUCUCUUUGUCCGCGAGCCAGGCGAGACAUGAGCAGUAAGCCCACUGGGUCAACUGAGGACAAGAUGUCUGUCCGAUACCUGAAAGGGAAGAUCAAGACUCAGCACAUGCUUGAGGGAUCAUAUAAACAACCCAUAAACACACUCGGCUUGUAUGCAGCACAUGCUGAGAUCAGAGAUGAAGAGAGAAAUCCAUAUUGACUGCUCUGCAUUGACUCAAAUCAAGUUUCCUUACAAGGAUGCCACCAGCAGAUCACAGGAAAUGAUUCACUCUCUUUCUGUCCAGAUGAGACAGAAAGACGUGGAUGAACUAGGGAGCGAAAGAAAGGAGCAGGAAGAAGUGGAUGAACUGGGGAGUGAACGAAAGGACUGAGCUGACAUGAUUAUUUUAUGUAAUGACUUUCUUUGGAGUUGAUUUGCACUGGUGAUUGAGCUUCACUUCCUCCAGACCUUAUUUUAUUCUCACAGCAUUCUCACUCACCCUAAUGGUUGCACUGACGCUUUGCUGCAGACUACUUGUGUUUCUCUUUUCCAGCAGAUUUUUUAAAUGAUUCAAACCGGUUCUAUUUGAUAACAAAAUAAGAUGUGAUCCAGUGCCAUUGAUUUGUAUACUAAGCAUUACAGGGAACAGUACACAGAAAUCCACUGUCCAUGCCCAUGUUUUCUCUGUCUUGAUUUUUUAAAAGAUAAAUCUUGUCAAACAUUAGAGAUGGAGUAUAACAUUGUGGCCUCGAUAUGAUCUCAACAAUUAAAAUAUAUUUUUGUAAAUUGGCUUUAAGAAAAUGGAC